UUCGAUCCUAGCUCAGGACAGACGCUGGCGGGAUGCUUUACACAUGCAAGUCGAACGGCAGCACGGACUUCGGUCUGGUGGCGAGUGGCGAACGGGUGAAUGAUGUAUCAGGGAGCGUGCUAGUGGCGGGGGAUAACUGGGCGGCGUUGGUGGCAAUACCACAUACCGCCCUUCGAAGGAAAAGCAGAGGCCUUCGGGCCUCAGCACUAUUAGAGCGGCCGAUAUCCAGUUAGCUGGUUGGUGGGGUAACGGCUCACGCAAGGCGACGAUCCGUAGCUGAGUUUGAGAAAGGACGACCUGAGCCACGCAGGACUGAGACACGGCCCAGACUCCUACGGGAGGCAGCGGUGAAAUUUGGACAAUGGGGAAACCUGAUCCAGCCAUCCCGCGUGUGCGAUGAAGGCCUUCCGGGUUGUAAAGCACUUUUGGCAGAAACGACGGCACGGGAUAGUACCCCGUGCAACUGACGGUACCUGCAGAAUAAGCACCGGCUAACUACGUGCCAGCAACCGCGGUAAUACGUAGGGUGCAAGCGUUAAUCGGAAUUACUGGGCGUAAAGCGUGCGCGACGGUUCGGAAGAAAGAUGUGAAAUCCCAAACUUAACUUUGGGAUUCUGUUUUUAACUACCGAGUUAGAGUGUGUCAGAGGUGGAAUUCCGCGUGUAGCAGUGAAAUGCGUAGAUAUGCGGAGGAACACCGAUGGCGAAGGCAGCCUCCUGGGAUAACACUGACGCUCAUGCACAGCGUGGGGAGCAAACAGGAUUAGAUACCCUGGUAGUCCACGCCUAAACGAUGUCAACUGGCUAUUUGGGGCCUUGCCGGGCCUUGGUAGCGCAGCUAACGCGUGAAGUUGACCGCCUGGGAAGUACGGUCGCAAGAUUAAAACUCGAGAAUUGACGGGGACCACGCAAGCAGUGGAUGAUGUGGAUAUGAACUGGAUACAACGAAAAGACAUUAUUCUACUUGACAUGUCUGGAAUCCCGAAGAGAUUUGGGAGUGCUCGCAAGAGAACCGGAACACAGGUGCUGCAUGGCUGUCGUCAAGCUCGUGUCGUGAGAUGUUGGGUUAAGUCCCGCAACGAGCACAACCCUUGUCAUUAGUUGCUACACGAAGGGCACUCUAAUGAGACUGCGGUGACAAACCGGAGGAAGGUGGGGAUGACGUCAAGUCCUCCGCAUGGCCCAUAUGGUAGGGCUUCGUACGUCAUACAAUGGUCAGGACAGAGGGAUUCGCCAACCCGCGAGGGGAGCCAAUCCCAGAAGCCCGAUCGUAGUCCGGAUCGCAGUCUGCAACUCGGCUGCGUGAAGUCGGAAUCGCUGGUAAUCAGCGGAUCAGCAUGUCGCAGUGAAUACGUUCCAGAUUCAUUGUACACACCGCCCGUCGCACCGUAGGAGUGGUUUACCAGUAGCCUAACGUCAGGGCGAUUACAGUAGGAUUCAUGACUGGUGAAGUCGUAACAAGGUAG
This 1465-nucleotide ribosomal RNA is filed under the name uncultured Bordetella sp. Its description in RNAcentral is "partial 16S-23S ribosomal RNA intergenic spacer". It matches the Rfam family "Bacterial small subunit ribosomal RNA". Lineage: Bacteria; Pseudomonadati; Pseudomonadota; Betaproteobacteria; Burkholderiales; Alcaligenaceae. The record is from RNAcentral.